This 253-nucleotide ribosomal RNA is filed under the name uncultured bacterium. RNAcentral describes it as "partial 16S ribosomal RNA". It matches the Rfam family "Bacterial small subunit ribosomal RNA", at positions 524 to 776 of the family's 1533-position model. The record is from RNAcentral.
UACGGGGGGGGUAAGCGUUGUUCGGAAUUACUGGGCGUAAAGGGCUCGUAGGCGGCCAACUAAGUCAGACGUGAAAUCCCUCAGCUUAACUGGGGAACUGCGUCUGAUACUGAUGAGCUUGAGUGCAGGAGAGGAACGCGGAAUUCCAGGUGUAGCGGUGAAAUGCGUAGAUAUCUGGAGGAACACCGGUGGCGAAGGCGGCGUUCUGGACUGCAACUGACACUGAGAAACGAAAGCCAGGGGAGCAAACGGG